RNAcentral lists this ribosomal RNA (420 nucleotides) under uncultured bacterium. RNAcentral describes it as "bacterial SSU rRNA". It matches the Rfam family "Bacterial small subunit ribosomal RNA", at positions 356 to 773 of the family's 1533-position model. The record is from RNAcentral.
GAGGAAUAUUGGACAAUGGGCGCAAGCCUGAUCCAGCCAUGCCGCGUGCAGGAUGACGGUCCUAUGGAUUGUAAACUGCUUUUGUACGAGAAGAAACACUGAUUCGUGAAUCAGCUUGACGGUAUCGUAAGAAUAAGGAUCGGCUAACUCCGUGCCAGCAGCCGCGGUAAUACGGAGGAUCCAAGCGUUAUCCGGAAUUAUUGGGUUUAAAGGGUCCGUAGGCGGUUUAGUAAGUCAGUGGUGAAAGCCCAUCGCUCAACGGUGGAACGGCCAUUGAUACUGCUGAACUUGAAUUAUUAGGAAGUAACUAGAAUAUGUAGUGUAGCGGUGAAAUGCUUAGAGAUUACAUGGAAUACCAAUUGCGAAGGCAGGUUACUACUAAUUGAGUGACGCUGAUGGACGAAAGCGUGGGGAGCGAAC